RNAcentral lists this ribosomal RNA (253 nucleotides) under uncultured bacterium. Its description in RNAcentral is "partial 16S ribosomal RNA". It matches the Rfam family "Bacterial small subunit ribosomal RNA", at positions 524 to 776 of the family's 1533-position model. The record is from RNAcentral.
UACGUAGGGGGCGAGCGUUGUCCGGAUUUACCGGGCGUAAAGCGCACGCAGGCGGUCUGCUAAGUUUGGAGUGACAGUUGGUGGCUUAACUGCCAAAGUGCUUCGAAAACUGACAGACUUGAGGGCUUCAGAGGGACACGGAAUUCCGGGUGGAGUGGUGAAAUGCGUAGAGAUCCGGAGGAACACCAAAGGCGAAGGCAGUGUCCUGGGGAGUACCUGACGCUCAGGUGCGAAAGCCAGGGGAGCGAACGGG